AUGGCCACCAGUAUUCGUACAGCGGUACGCGGGGAAUGGGUAGAGCAGAGACCGUGCAAGGUGACUGGAAGUCUGGAACGGCGGCUGUUCAGGCGCUCUGGAACACGGCGCCCUUGCGACCACGGUAGCGCUUCUUCAGGUUCUUGGCCGCGCGGUACUUGGUGGUGUCUCCCCAGUCGCCUUCCUCCUCUUCCCACGGGUCGUCUCCGCCACGGCCGCCUUCCUCCUCCUCUCUCCUCCGCCUACGUUCCUCUUCCUCCCUCGGAUCGUCUCCUCGUCCUCCUUGGCCUCCGCCGCCCUCUUCCUCCUCCCUCCUCCGCCUUUCCUCUUCCUCCCUCGGAUCGUCACCUCCUCCGCCGCCUUCUUCCUCCUCCCUCCUCCGCCGUUCUUCCUCCUCCCUUGGAUCAUCACCUCCUCCUCCGCCUUGGCCUCCGCCACCUUCUUCCUCCUCCCUUCUCCUCCUUUCUUCUUCCUCUUCUUGCUCCCUCCUCGCUGCUUCUUCCUCCUCCCUCUCCUUCCUUUCCUUCUCUCUCCUCGCCCUCUCUUCCUCCUCCCUCUGCUUCCUUUCCUUCUCCUCUCUCCUCUCCCUCUCUUCUUCCUCCCGUUUCCUCUGCUCUUCCUCCCUCUGCUUCCUUUCCUUCUCCCUCCUCGCCCUCUCUUCCUCCUCUCGCUUCUUCCGCUCUUCCUCCUCUCUCUGCUUCCUUUCCCUCUCCUCCUCUUCCCGCUCCCGCUCCCCCUUCCCGCCCUCCUGUUCCUCCUGCUCCGCCUUCCUCUCCAGCUCCUCCGCGCACGAGAUGCACGCCAUUAUGGUCGACCCGCUCUUCGCCGACAGCAGCUUCUCCACGGCGGUCGUGUUCUUCUGCCCCAGAGCCAGCGCCACUAUCUCCUUGCCGAUCACCUGCAGCACCGAAUGCUCCCCGGCCAGGAACUGCGGGUUGUUCUCCCCCAUGUGGGUGCUGA
Molecule: ribosomal RNA, 960 nt
Filed under: Triticum aestivum (bread wheat)
Lineage: Eukaryota; Viridiplantae; Streptophyta; Magnoliopsida; Poales; Poaceae
Description: partial small subunit ribosomal RNA
Source: RNAcentral